Molecule: ribosomal RNA, 778 nt
Filed under: uncultured Neocallimastigales
Lineage: Eukaryota; Fungi; Neocallimastigomycota; Neocallimastigomycetes; Neocallimastigales
Description: partial large subunit ribosomal RNA
Rfam family: Eukaryotic large subunit ribosomal RNA
Source: RNAcentral
CACGCAUGACACACUGCAUAUCAAUAAGCGGAGGAAAAGAAACUAACAAGGAUUCCCUUAGUAACGGCGAGUGAAGCGGGAAGAGCUCAAAUUUGAAAUCCUCAAGGUUCUACCUUGACGAAUUGUAGUUUAAUAGAAGUGUUUUCUGUUAGUAGAGUUGGCUAAAAGUUCUUUGGAAUAGGACAUCAUAGAGGGUGAGAAUCCCGUAUUUGUACCAUUCUCCUAGCUGUUGUGAUACACUUUCAACGAGUCGGAUUGUUUGGGAAUGCAGUCCAAAAUGGGUGGUAAAUUUCAUCUAAAGCUAAAUAUUGGCGAGAGACCGAUAGCGAACAAGUACCGUGAGGGAAAGAUGAAAAGAACUUUGAAAAGAGAGUUAAACAGUACGUGAAAUUGUCAAAAGGGAAGCGUUUGACACCAGUGUUGUUUUUCCGAAAAUCAAUUACGAAUGUUUUAUUUUUAGAGAGUUAUGACUUCAUCGGCUUGCUUCUUUCUUUACGAAACUUUCUUAAUGCACUUUUCGGUUAACAAGUCAACAUCAAUUUCUUUUGUUGUAAAAGGGUAUGAGGAAGGUGGCUUUCUUUUCGGAGAAAGUGUUUAUAGCCUUGUACCUCUGCAAUCGGAGAGAUUGAGGUCUGCAGCGUAGAUCCUUCGGGGUUAGAUACAUUUGUGCUAAGUUAUAGCUUUUCAUAGACAACUUGUUGACUAUGUUUAGUCUUGUAGCUUACUCGCUUACUGCUAUUUUACCUACGCUUAGGAUGUUGAGCGCAUGUCUCUCUCU